ACGCACGCUGGCGGCGUGCUUAACACAUGCAAGUCGAACGGAAAGGCCCCUUUGGGGGUACUCGAGUGGCGAACGGGUGAGUAACACGUGAGUAACCUGCCCUUGACUUCGGGAUAACUUCAGGAAACUGGGGCUAAUACCGGCUAGGAAUCCUUGCUGCAUGGUGGGGGUUGGAAAGCUUCGGCGGUUUUGGAUGGACUCGCGGCUGAUCAGCUUGUUGGUGGGGUAGUGGCUUACCAAGGCUUUGACGGGUAGCCGGCCUGAGAGGGCGACCGGCCACAUUGGGACUGAGAUACGGCCCAGACUCCUACGGGAGGCAGCAGUGGGGAAUAUUGCACAAUGGGCGGAAGCCUGAUGCAGCAACGCCGCGUGCGGGAUGACGGCCUUCGGGUUGUAAACCGCUUUCAGCAGGGGCGAAGCUUGUGGUGACGGUACCUGCAGAAGAAGCACCGGCUAACUACGUG
This 464-nucleotide ribosomal RNA is filed under the name uncultured bacterium. RNAcentral's name for it is "partial 16S ribosomal RNA". It matches the Rfam family "Bacterial small subunit ribosomal RNA", at positions 29 to 507 of the family's 1533-position model. The record is from RNAcentral.